RNAcentral lists this ribosomal RNA (301 nucleotides) under uncultured bacterium. RNAcentral describes it as "partial 16S ribosomal RNA". It matches the Rfam family "Bacterial small subunit ribosomal RNA", at positions 509 to 807 of the family's 1533-position model. The record is from RNAcentral.
CAGCAGCCGCGGUAAUACGGAGGGUGCAAGCGUUAAUCGGAAUCACUGGGCGUAAAGCGUGCGCAGGCGGUAAUGUAAGACAGAUGUGAAAUCCCCGGGCUCAACCUGGGAACUGCAUUUGUGACUGCAUUGCUGGAGUGCGGCAGAGGGGGAUGGAAUUCCGCGUGUAGCAGUGAAAUGCGUAGUUAUGCGGAGGAACACCGAUGGCGAAGGCAAUCCCCUGGGCCUGCACUGACGCUCAUGCACGAAAGCGUGGGGAGCAAACAGGAUUAGAUACCCCUGUAGUCCCUGUCUCUUAUAC